UUGAUUGGUUGGCAAGAUAAAAGCUCGAUUUAUGCAGAGUCCUCCAUUCAUCACAUGGACACGGGUACUAAUGAUCACAAAUUAUUGAUUAUUAUAUUCUUUGGCUUGAAAUUUGAAAUUAUUGAUUACUUUGAUCAGUUAGAUUGGAAUUUGAGGAGCUAUGUCUUGUCGGUGUCUGAGUUUUGGUUCACUACAUCAAAUUUAUACCACAUCCAGAUUGAUGACUGUGAUAU
This 233-nucleotide long non-coding RNA is filed under the name Phoenix dactylifera (date palm). Its description in RNAcentral is "long non-coding RNA (PDAC_LNC002049)". Lineage: Eukaryota; Viridiplantae; Streptophyta; Magnoliopsida; Arecales; Arecaceae. The record is from RNAcentral.